Molecule: ribosomal RNA, 492 nt
Filed under: uncultured bacterium
Lineage: Bacteria
Description: partial 16S ribosomal RNA
Rfam family: Bacterial small subunit ribosomal RNA
Source: RNAcentral
AGUGAACGCUGGCGGUAGGCCUAACGCAUGCAAGUCGAACGGCAGCACAGUAAGAGCUUGCUCUUACGGGUGGCGAGUGGCGGACGGGCGAGGAAUACAUCGGAAUCUACUUUUUCGUGGGGGAUAACGUAGGGAAACUUACGCUAAUACCGCAUACGACCUACGGGUGAAAGCAGGGGAUCUUCGGACCUUGCGCGAUUGAAUGAGCCGAUGUCGGAUUAGCUAGUUGGCGGGGUAAGGGCCCACCAAGGCGACGAUCCGUAGCUGGUCUGAGAGGAUGAUCAGCCACACUGGAACUGAGACACGGUCCAGACUCCUACGGGAGGCAGCAGUGGGGAAUAUUGGACAAUGGGCGCAAGCCUGAUCCAGCCAUACCGCGUGGGUGAAGAAGGCCUUCGGGUUGUAAAGCCCUUUUGUUGGGAAAGAAAAGCAGCAGGUUAAUACCCCGCUGUUCUGACGGUACCCAAAGAAUAAGCACCGGCUAACUUCGUG